CGCAGCCGCGGUAAUUCCAGCUCCAAUAGCGUAUAUUAAAGUUGUUGCGGUUAAAAAGCUCGUAGUUGAAUUUCGGGAUCAAUUUAUCGGUCGUGCCAAUGGUAUGAACUGGUACAAUUGGUCUCUCCCUUCUGAAGAACCAUGAUGUCAUUAAUUUGGUGUUGUGGGGAAUCAGGACUGUUACUUUGAAAAAAUUAGAGUGUUUAAAGCAGGCUUAGGCUUGAAUACAUUAGCAUGGAAUAAUGAAAUAGGACGCUUUGAUCCUAUUUCGUUGGUUUCUAGGAUCGACGUAAUGAUUAAUAGGGAUAGUUGGGGGCAUUAGUAUUCAAUUGUCAGAGGUGAAAUUCUUGGAUUUAUUGAAGACUAACUACUGCGAAAGCAUUUGCCAAGGAUGUUUUCAUUAAUCAAGAACGAAAGUUAGGGGAUCGAAGACGAUCAGAUACCGUCGUAGUCUUAACCAUAAACUAUGCCGACUAGGGAUCGGAUGAUGUUAAUUUUUAAAUGACUCA
This 509-nucleotide ribosomal RNA is filed under the name uncultured fungus. Its description in RNAcentral is "SSU rRNA". It matches the Rfam family "Eukaryotic small subunit ribosomal RNA", at positions 569 to 1078 of the family's 1831-position model. Lineage: Eukaryota; Fungi. The record is from RNAcentral.